UAGGGAAUUUUUGUCAAUGGGGGAAACGAACAAGCACGCCGCGUGGAGGAUGAAGGCCUUCGGGUCGUAAACUCCUGUCGGAGGGGACGAAAGCGGUUGGGGUUAAUACCCUCAGUCGCUGACGGUACCCUAUGAGGAAGCCUCGGCUAACUUCGUG
Molecule: ribosomal RNA, 157 nt
Filed under: uncultured delta proteobacterium
Lineage: Bacteria; Deltaproteobacteria
Description: partial 16S ribosomal RNA
Rfam family: Bacterial small subunit ribosomal RNA
Source: RNAcentral